GAUGAACGCUAGCGGGAGGCCUAACACAUGCAAGCCGAGCGGUAGAGUCUCUUCGGAGACUUGAGAGCGGCGCACGGGUGCGGAACACGUGUGCAACCUGCCUUUAUCUGGGGGAUAGCCUUUCGAAGGGAAGAUUAAUACCCCAUAAUAUACUGGAUGGCAUCAUCUGGUAUUGAAAACUCCGGUGGAUAGAGAUGGGCACGCGCAAGAUUAGAUAGUUGGUGAGGUAACGGCUCACCAAGUCAGCGAUCUUUAGGGGGCCUGAGAGGGUGAUCCCCCACGCUGGUACUGAGACACGGACCAGACUCCUACGGGAGGCAGCAGUGAGGAAUAUUGGACAAUGGGUGAGAGCCUGAUCCAGCCAUCCCGCGUUAAGGACGACGGCCCUAUGGGUUGUAAACUUCUUUUGUAUAGGGAUAAACCUAGAUACGUGUAUCUAGCUGAAGGUACUAUACGAAUAAGCACCGGCUAACUCCGUG
This 479-nucleotide ribosomal RNA is filed under the name uncultured bacterium. RNAcentral's name for it is "partial 16S ribosomal RNA". It matches the Rfam family "Bacterial small subunit ribosomal RNA", at positions 28 to 507 of the family's 1533-position model. The record is from RNAcentral.